RNAcentral lists this small RNA (292 nucleotides) under Capronia coronata CBS 617.96. Its description in RNAcentral is "5' ureB small RNA". It matches the Rfam family "5' ureB small RNA". Lineage: Eukaryota; Fungi; Ascomycota; Eurotiomycetes; Chaetothyriales; Herpotrichiellaceae. The record is from Rfam by way of RNAcentral.
CAUACACCUGUUGCGGACAGAUCAGGUGGAUGUGCGAGUCGAAGCCGCCCGCCGUGAUAAUGCUGCCUUCGGCUGCGAUCACGUCCGUGCCGCUGCCCACGAUCAUGUUGGGAUGCACCCCGUCCAUCACGUCCGGGUUGCCAGCCUUGCCGAUGGCCGAGAUGAACCCGUGCUUGAUGCCAAUGUCCGCCUUGUAAAUGCCGGUCCAGUCGAUGAUGAGCGCGUUGGUGAUGACCGUGUCCAAUACCUCCGAGUCGGGGCGACCCGAUGCCUGACCCAUUCCUUCACGAAG